UCCAGGAUAGCUCAGUUGGUUAAGCAUGAGACUCUAAAUCUCAGGGUUGUGGGUUUGAGCCCCACGUUGGGUGAAA
This 76-nucleotide transfer RNA is filed under the name Podarcis lilfordi (Lilford's wall lizard). Its description in RNAcentral is "tRNA.Sup". The stretch from base 8 to 65 matches the Rfam family "tRNA", at positions 8 to 63 of the family's 71-position model. From Rfam's summary of the family: Transfer RNA (tRNA) molecules are approximately 80 nucleotides in length. Lineage: Eukaryota; Metazoa; Chordata; Lepidosauria; Squamata; Lacertidae. The record is from RNAcentral.